This is a long non-coding RNA of Dermacentor albipictus, 857 nucleotides long. RefSeq lists it as uncharacterized. Lineage: Eukaryota; Metazoa; Arthropoda; Arachnida; Ixodida; Ixodidae. The record is from RefSeq and is a predicted model, not a curated record.
UGGCUACGCGUCACGCGUCUGCGAGGCCGUACGCGCCUGUCCUACGCGUCUAGAGAGGGCAGACGCGCAGGAAACGCGCGCGUCAAGGAUGUCUUGAUCUUGGGCGUCAUUUUGAGCGUACGCGACGGAAGUGGCAGCUUGUGCACCGACGUCACGUGGGCCGCAUGUACACUUCCGGCGGUUCGGAAAGGUUGUUGAAGUUUCAGAAUCGUGCGGAGACGCCAGGAGUCUGGUAGCACAGAUGCUAUGGAGGCGAUCAACAACGAAGCGCAGAUCGCCUGCGUUGAGGCUCGACCUGCGAAUUGGUAGCCGGCGAAACACAAGCGCCACAAGAACAAGCACAUGACGAGGUGGUCGUGGAUCGUCAUGCCCAACGCUGCCCAACAGAUGACGUUAUCACAGCGCUGCAGAAGCAGAAGUCCGUGGGGAAUAAAUUUCGGCGCCUGGGAAGACGUUUCAGAAAGAGAAGAGCCGCGCCGUGCCAGACGACGUUCAGGACGACGUCAUCUGGCUGUUUUUCGACCAGAUGACGUUCCUGCGCCACUCAGUGGAGUGUAGACUGAUGUCCGCCAACCUUCCACCAGUGCCCUCAUAGAGUGAGGAGGGAAGUGCUGCAGACAUCCUAACGAAAAAUGUGCAAGUUUUCCGAUCUGGCAACACUUGGAAGUGUCAUCACCGUCAAGUGAAGAGUCACAAGCACCAGCAUCAACUCUGUCUUCGGUGUCGCAUGAGUCUGUGGAGUCUCAGGACAUUUUGGAAUCUCUUCAAUCACCGAUGUUUCAAGAAGUUCUGGUUCCUGAGGUUUCUGAGGCACGCCACAGCAGGCCGCAGUCACAAGCAUCACUGGCUUCAGCAAG